CCCCCAUUUCCUUCCCUCUCAUUUGGCCAUGGCCAUGAAACCUGAUUGGCUACCAAUGACAGUGCAUAAUGCCGACCAAGAGAUGACCCCGACAGCUGCCACAACCACCGACGGUUGAUGAAGUACUGGCCCCAAUGCCUGUUGCCAAUGGAGAUCGAUAGAACCAUAAGGAAAAUAGGGAUUUCCCUAUUUUAAAACAAAUCUGAUGAAUUUGCCGGCUCUAAACAAUGGGGAAGCACCAAGAAAAGAUAAGAAAAACAAUGCUAGGCCUUUAUCUCGAUCCGACGAAGCUAGGGAAAGGGUUUCCGACAAUCUAUUCCUUACAGCAGCUUAAGGAAGAACUCUCGAAAUCUCAAACUAUUCGUAAUGAUCCCUCAAGGAUUCGGUGGUGGAUUCAAGGAAGAGGGAAAUCAUCUAUUUAUAGACAUGAUUUGAUGUUUCUAGGGUCUGAUUUUUAGGGGUUUACCUCUGGGUUUUCCUAAGGAGAUCAAGAGAGAAGACUCCUAAUCAAAGUCC
Molecule: long non-coding RNA, 516 nt
Filed under: Elaeis guineensis (African oil palm)
Lineage: Eukaryota; Viridiplantae; Streptophyta; Magnoliopsida; Arecales; Arecaceae
Description: long non-coding RNA (EGUI_LNC066013)
Source: RNAcentral